UGACAUCCUAGUCUACAGCACUGAUUUAAACAAUCAUUGUUAUCAUGUUACUGUGGUUCUCAACCUUCUGAAGGAACAUCAGUUGUAUGCUAAGGGGAGCAAAUGUUCAUUUGGGCAAACCAAGGUGGAAUACCUGGGACAUAUAAUAUCUGCGGAGGGUGUGGCAGCUGAUCCCUCUAAGAUUUCAGCAAUGAUAGAGUGGCCUAAACCGACCAACAUCAAACAUUUGAGGGGAUUUUUAGGCCUAACUGGGUAUUACAGGAAAUUUGUGAAGAGAUAUGAAGCCAUAGCAAAACCAUUAACUGACUUGUUGAAGAAGGAUAAUUUCAUCUGGAAUGAGGCUGCUGAAUUGGCCUUUCAAGAGUUAAAGGGAGCUAUGAGUGCCACACCGGUCUUGGCCUUGCCAGACUUUUCCAUUCCCUUUGUCAUCGAAACUGAUGAUUGCUAUAGAGGUAUGGGGCUGUGUUAAUGCAAAGUAAGAGGCCCAUUGCUUAUUUGAGUAAAGGCAUUAACAAUAGAAACCUAGGCUUGUCCAUUUAUGAAAAAGAAGCCGCUGGCCUUGGUGACGGUGGUGGGAAAGUGGAGGCACUACUUAGAGGGACACCAUUUUAUUAUAAAGACAGAUCAUCAAUCCCUCAAACACUUGUUAGAACAGAGAAUCACUACCCCUCUAUAGCAAAAAUGGUUGACAAAGCUUUUGGGGCUUAGCUAUGAAAUACAAUACAAGAAAGGGGUGGACAAUAAAGUGGCAGAUGCACUCUCCAGAAGAGAAGGACAAGAUAUUGAAUGUUGGGCAAUUAUUACUAUAACUCUAGUAUGGAUUCAAGAGGUCAUAAGCAGCUACCAAGGGGAUGAAGAGGCACGAAGCAAGAUCACCGCACUACUACUCAAUGUGCAGGCAAAACCAGGCUAUACUUAAACAGAUGGACUCCUUAAAUAUAAUUCUCGACUGUAUAUUGGAUCUAGUGGUGGGAUAAGGAAGAAGUUGAUCAGUGUCAUUCACUCUUCCUAAGAAGGAGGGCAUUCAGGGAUUCAAGCCAGCCUACAUAGAGCAAAACAUCAUUUUUUCUAGCCUGGAAUGACUAAAGAGAUCGAGCAAGAAAUUCUGGAAUGUGACACUUGCCAAAGGUGUAAGGGUGAACAUGUGGCUUACCCUGGUCUAUUACAGCCCUACCCGAACCUCAAUAUGCUUGGAGCCACAUACCAAUGGAUUUUGUGGAAGGGUUACCUACAUCUGGGGGAAGGAAUGUAAUAUUAGUUGUGGUGGACCAAUUCACAAAAUACGGCCAUUUUCUUGUGCUAGCCCAUCCCUUCUCAGCAGUCCAGGUAGCGAAAUUGUUCUUAGAUAAUAGCUACAAAUUACAUGGGAUGCCACAAAGUAUUGUGAUAGACAGGGACAAAAUCUUUACAAGUGAAUUUUGGCAAGAGCUAUUCAAGCAUAUGGGAGCAACAUUCCAGUUAAGUUCAUCCUACUACCCACAGACAGAUGGGCAAAUGGAGAGGCUUAACCAAUGUCUUGAAAUUUACCUCAGAUGUAUGGUAUACAAACAAUCUAAGCAAUGGAGCAGGUGGAUCAGCUUGGCUGAGUGGUGGUACAACACCACUCUACACACUGCUAUUAAGAUGACACCAUUUGAAGCUUUUUACGGCAUCAAACCACCACAGUUGGCUUUGGGACCAUACCAACAACUUAAUGUGGUUGUAUGGAAGAGUUAUUGCAAGAAAGACAUCAAAUGGAUCGAAUAUUAAGGGAGAAUCUAGCACAAGCUAGGGCAAGAAUGAAGUUAUAUGCAGAUAAACAUAGGAAGGAAAGAGAGUUUCAAGUGGGAGACUGGGUUUACCUCAAGUUACACCUGUAUGCUCAAUAGACAGUAGCUAAAAGAUUAAACAAGAAGUUGGCUGCAAAAUACUAUGGGCCUUAUCAAGUGGUACAAAAGGUUGGAAAGGUUGCUUACAAACUCGAACUACCUGCAGAUGCAAAAAUUCAUCCUGUCUUUCAUGUAUCCUUACUAAAGAAAAAAUUGGGGGAGAAAGAAGUUCCAGUUUAUGCAUUACCAGCACUAUACAAAGGAGUGGAGGAUCAAAAACAACCGCUACGAGUUUUGUCCACGAAUGAUUAAAGAGAAUAACCGAGCUAUCACUCAGUGGCUGGUACAAUGGGAAGGAACCAACGUGGAAGACGCAACUUGGGAAACAUCAGAGUUCAUUCGGUCGAUUUUUCCAUUGUUUGAACCUUGGGGACGAGGUUGUUCCACGGGGGAGGGAUGUCAUGAGGGCAAUCAAAGACCAGACAAAAUUUGGGAAAGGAAAUAGAAGAGAAGCAACAGGAAAGGAAGACACCAACAGGAGGAAGACCCAACGGUUAAUUGAUGAGAAACGUUGGCGUUUUAUUUUGAUUUCAUUUGUGUUGUAAUAAGCAAAACACACUUCUUUCAAUUCACGUUUUCUUUUCCAAUUCAAUUAUAACUAUCAGAAGAGAGAGAGAGUAAGGCACGUGAAAAUGAUCAUUCCAA
This 2513-nucleotide long non-coding RNA is filed under the name Olea europaea subsp. europaea. The record is from RNAcentral. Lineage: Eukaryota; Viridiplantae; Streptophyta; Magnoliopsida; Lamiales; Oleaceae.